AGAGUUUGAUCAUGGCUCAGGAUGAACGCUGGCGGCGUGCCUAAAACAUGCAAGUCAUACGGGCUACCUUCGGGUAGCCAGUGGCAAACGGGUGAGUAACACGUGGGAACACGCCUUCGAGUGGGGAAUAACGCUGAGAAAUCAGUGCUAAUACCGCAUAUGGUCUAACGACUAAAGCCGCAAGGCGCUCGGGGAGUGGCCCGCGUCCGAUUAGCUAGUUGGUGGGGUAAUGGCCUACCAAGGCGGCGAUCGGUAGCUGGUCUGAGAGGAUGGUCAGCCACACUGGGACUGCGAACGGCCCAGACUCCUACGGGAGGCAGCAGUUAGGAAUUUUCGGCAAUGGACGAAAGUCUGACCGAGCGACGCCGCGUGAAGGAUGAAGCCUCUCGGGGUGUAAACUUCUUUUCUACGGGAAGAUAAUGACGGUACCGUAGGAAUAAGCACCGGCUAACUACGUGCCAGCAGCCGCGGUA
This 473-nucleotide ribosomal RNA is filed under the name uncultured Chloroflexota bacterium. RNAcentral describes it as "bacterial SSU rRNA". It matches the Rfam family "Bacterial small subunit ribosomal RNA", at positions 8 to 522 of the family's 1533-position model. The record is from RNAcentral. Lineage: Bacteria; Bacillati; Chloroflexota.